GACGAACGCUGGCGGCGUGCCUAAUACAUGCAAGUUGAGCGCUGAAGGUUGGUACUUGUACCAACUGGUUGAGCAGCGAACGGGUGAGUAACGCGUGGGGAAUCUGCCUUUGAGCGGGGGACAACAUUUGGAAACGAAUGCUAAUACCGCAUAAAAACUUUAAACACAAGUUUUAAGUUUGAAAGAUGCAAUUGCAUCACUCAAAGAUGAUCCCGCGUUGUAUUAGCUAGUUGGUGGGGUAAAGGCUCACCAAGGCGAUGAUACAUAGCCGACCUGAGAGGGUGAUCGGCCGCAUUGGGACUGAGACACGGCCCAAACUCCUACGGGAGGCAGCAGUAGGGAGUCUUCGGCAAUGGACGAAAGUCUGACCGAGCAACGCCGCGUGAGUGAAGAAGGUUGUCGGAUCGUAAAACUCUGUUGGUAGAGAAGAACGUUGGUGAGAGUGGAAAGCUCAUCAAGGGACGGUAACUACCCAGAAAGGGACGGCUAACUACGUG
RNAcentral lists this ribosomal RNA (497 nucleotides) under uncultured bacterium. RNAcentral's name for it is "partial 16S ribosomal RNA". It matches the Rfam family "Bacterial small subunit ribosomal RNA", at positions 28 to 507 of the family's 1533-position model. The record is from RNAcentral.